Molecule: ribosomal RNA, 409 nt
Filed under: uncultured bacterium
Lineage: Bacteria
Description: bacterial SSU rRNA
Rfam family: Bacterial small subunit ribosomal RNA
Source: RNAcentral
GUGUCAGCCGCCGCGGUAAUACGGAGGGUGCAAGCGUUAAUCGGAAUCACUGGGCGUAAAGCGCGCGUAGGCGGUCUUUUAAGUCGGACGUGAAAGCCCUCGGCUCAACCGGGGAACUGCGUUCGAAACUGGGAGACUUGAGUCCUGGAGAGGGUGGCGGAAUUCCGGGUGUAGGAGUGAAAUCCGUAGAUAUCCGGAGGAACACCGGUGGCGAAGGCGGCCACCUGGACAGGUACUGACGCUGAGGCGCGAAAGCGUGGGGAGCAAACAGGAUUAGAUACCCUGGUAGUCCACGCUGUAAACGAUGGAUGCUAGGUGUCGGGGAGCGAUCUUCGGUGCCGCAGUUAACGCAUUAAGCAUCCCGCCUGGGGAGUACGGUCGCAAGGCUGAAACUUAAAUGAAUUGACGG